UACGGGGGGGGCAAGCGUUGUUCGGAAUUACUGGGCGUAAAGGGCUUGUAGGCGGCCAACUAAGUCAGACGUGAAAUCCCUCGGCUUAACCGGGGAACUGCGUCUGAUACUGGAUGGCUUGAGUUCGGGAGAGGGAUGCGGAAUUCCAGGUGUAGCGGUGAAAUGCGUAGAUAUCUGGAGGAACACCGGUGGCGAAGGCGGCAUCCUGGACCGACACUGACGCUGAUGAGCGAAGGCCAGGGGAGCAAACGGG
This 253-nucleotide ribosomal RNA is filed under the name uncultured bacterium. RNAcentral describes it as "partial 16S ribosomal RNA". It matches the Rfam family "Bacterial small subunit ribosomal RNA", at positions 524 to 776 of the family's 1533-position model. The record is from RNAcentral.